Molecule: long non-coding RNA, 263 nt
Organism: Haliotis rubra (blacklip abalone)
Lineage: Eukaryota; Metazoa; Mollusca; Gastropoda; Lepetellida; Haliotidae
Exons: 3
Source: RefSeq, a predicted model, not a curated record
UUUAAUGUAAGUAAGAUUACUGAUGAUAACUUCCAAAACGUGGCUUACAUGUAAGAAACGGUAAUGUUCGUUAAUCAUCCCAGAGCAACUGGCUAACUACAGUUUUCAUUUAUGAUUAGACUAUAAAUGCAAUGUCUAUGUAAGUUCUGCAUGAGACAGAAAGUUGAGAAAACCCGAGUUUCAUGAUGUGUACUUUUUAUUUGUGUGGCGGAUACGAUAUCCAGUCAGGAAGCAAACUUCCUAUGUACUUGCAGAGAUAUGGU